Populus euphratica (Euphrates poplar) is the source of this 754-nucleotide long non-coding RNA. RefSeq lists it as uncharacterized. Lineage: Eukaryota; Viridiplantae; Streptophyta; Magnoliopsida; Malpighiales; Salicaceae. The transcript is spliced from 3 exons. The record is from RefSeq and is a predicted model, not a curated record.
CCCUUUAUAUUUUCCUAUUGUAUGUGUCAAGCACUAUCCGCAACUAAAACCUCUCAAGUCUCAUCCAUUUGAUUUCCAAUAUUUGCUUCCAUUUUUAUCUGGCAAUUCACAAAUGGCUUCUUCAAGUCGUCACCAAAAGCAACUGUCACUCACUCCUCGUGAUAAUCACUCUCAUGCCUGCAUAAUCCAGGAGACGAAAACUUCAUUUUCCAAGAUGACCAUAACCACCGGGACGCCGCACAAUCAGCGGCCUAUAUCGAAGGGAAAUCAUAUUGCCCUUGAACAAGGAGUCGUCAACAAAAUAAAGAAGCCUACCAUCGACAAACAGAGGCUAGUCGUUAAGGAGCAGAAGCAUGAGUUCAGAGAAAAGAAGAUCGUGAGCUCCUACACUGCAGUAGAGAAGGAGAAGAAGCGAAUCCCGCACAAGCAUAGAAGCGGGGGCACUUUAGAAGUCACCGUCAAAACAAAAUUUUGACAUUAUCAUCUCUCCGUCACCGAAGCCAUCGCAAACUUGAAGUUCCAGAAUUUCUCUGGUGGUGUGCACGUCAGAAGGCAACUUGCAUGUAUAAUUAGCAAUUAUGCCGAUGUAGAACGUUUUUUUUUUUUUUUGUUAAAUAUGUAUUUCCCUAUGGUUUCCCUUGUUAUCAAUACCCCCCCGGCCUUAAAAUAAAAGGGUUCUUGUUACAUUGUGUAUGUUUAAUUGAGGAUUAAUCCUCUUCAGGCAAUAUAUAUCAGGUUUGAUGUGUGGAUUGUA